GACGAACGCUGGCGGCGUGCCUAAUACAUGCAAGUAGAACGCUGAAGGAGGAGCUUGCUUCUCUGGAUGAGUUGCGAACGGGUGAGUAACGCGUAGGUAACCUGCCUGGUAGCGGGGGAUAACUAUUGGAAACGAUAGCUAAUACCGCAUAAGAGUAGAUGUUGCAUGACAUUUGCUUAAAAGGUGCAAUUGCAUCACUACCAGAUGGACCUGCGUUGUAUUAGCUAGUUGGUGGGGUAACGGCUUACCAAGGCGACGAUACAUAGCCGACCUGAGAGGGUGAUCGGCCACACUGGGACUGAGACACGGCCCAGACUCCUACGGGAGGCAGCAGUAGGGAAUCGUCGGCAAUGGACGGAAGUCUGACCGAGCAACGCCGCGUGAGUGAAGAAGGGUUUCGGAUCGUAAAGCUCUGUUGUAAGAGAAGAACGAGUGUGAGAGUGGAAAGUUCACACUGUGACGGUAUCUGACCAGAAAGGGACGGCUAACUACGUG
RNAcentral lists this ribosomal RNA (495 nucleotides) under uncultured bacterium. RNAcentral describes it as "partial 16S ribosomal RNA". It matches the Rfam family "Bacterial small subunit ribosomal RNA", at positions 28 to 507 of the family's 1533-position model. The record is from RNAcentral.